AUAGCGCCAUCACACGCCGAGCCGCUGUGUCUAAAUCCGCUUGCCGGACACGACCAGUGUGCCGUGGUCUUACUGACCACCGGGGUUACGCUGGAAACGGCGUUACCUCCCGUUAUCUGGAAAGGUGUCGCUUAUGCUUAUGGA
RNAcentral lists this non-coding RNA (144 nucleotides) under Pseudidiomarina salinarum. RNAcentral's name for it is "Idiomarina salinarum MoCo sequence". It matches the Rfam family "Molybdenum/Tungsten riboswitch aptamer (Moco RNA motif)". The record is from Rfam by way of RNAcentral. Lineage: Bacteria; Pseudomonadati; Pseudomonadota; Gammaproteobacteria; Alteromonadales; Idiomarinaceae.